UGGCCGGUCGUAUAAGGGUAGUACCGCAGGUUUUGGUCCUGUUAGUGGGGGUUCGAAUCCUCCCUGGCCAA
This 71-nucleotide transfer RNA is filed under the name Bacteroidota bacterium. RNAcentral describes it as "Bacteroidetes bacterium (hydrothermal vent metagenome) tRNA-Gln". It matches the Rfam family "tRNA". Rfam says of the family: Transfer RNA (tRNA) molecules are approximately 80 nucleotides in length. Lineage: Bacteria; Pseudomonadati; Bacteroidota. The record is from RNAcentral.